GGGCGCGGGAUGGAAGAGGAGCCGGGGCAAGAAGGAGGGCUCCUGGAUGGGCGUGACUAGAGCUUGCCUUUAAAAGACUUGAAAUUAUCUGGAUCCUGACAUCUUCCUUUUCGGACCUGCUGAGUCACGGAAUAUUGUCAGUGCCAGAAUGACUCAGUUCACAGAGCCCGAGCCAAAAGAUCAUGAGUUUUAGUCCCAGAUCAGAACUACCUACAGUGCUGAUGGAACAAGCAGACAGGGGAAGGGAGGUUGCUGUGAAAAUGAUCCAGUUGAGAGCGGGGCGUGGAAGCCCACUGCUGGAAUCCCAACCCAAGAUGCAAAGCAGACCCACAAAGUGGCCGCUCCAGACGCAUUUUUAAAAAAACUUUCAGACUUAAUGAUACAGUGAUAACAAUAAAUACCAUUUUGGCUUCA
Molecule: long non-coding RNA, 414 nt
Organism: Mesocricetus auratus (golden hamster)
Lineage: Eukaryota; Metazoa; Chordata; Mammalia; Rodentia; Cricetidae
Exons: 2
Source: RefSeq, a predicted model, not a curated record